AGUUCGUCUUGAUGCACACGUCGUGCAUAUAGGUUUUUAAAAUGACUUUACGCGAAAGAUUUCACGAGUGUUUUUAUAAAUUAUUCAAAUAAAAAAAAUAUUAAUUCAGUUUUUUUUAUUGGCUGUUAAGUAUAAUGAAAUAGUUUCGGAAAUUAAAAAUGUGAGAUCAAGUGGAAUAAAAGUAACAAGGCAUAUCAGAUUUUGAAAAGGUACGACCUCAUUACUAUUGAAGAAGAAAAUAAAUUAAUAUUGCUGUUAUUGGAAGUGCAUUUUUGGGUGUUUUUUAGCUCAUCAACAUACCAACUCUAUACAUGAGUAUAUAUACUCGACAAAAAAAAAAAAUUCAAAAACAUGAAUUGAAACGUUUACACUAUUCUUAUGCUAUAUAAUUGCACCGUUUCAUAUCUGUUGUAGUCUGAGUACUCUGAGUGUCAUACGACUGAUCGACCGAAUUUACGUUAAAAAAUACGUUUACUGCACGAAUAAGACGCAUAGAAUUAUAAUAACAGUAUGGGAAUGUAAAAUACAAGUAAAAAAAUCAAAACAACCAUAUAGGUACAAGCAAUUUGUUGGAUAUAUUAAAAUAAUAAAUAAUAAAAAGGUAAUAACAAUAAUAAUAUUAAUAUCAUUAUGCACGCCAUUGAAUGAAUCAACGCGACGUAAGUAUAUACUACAAUGUCAACAAUAUUUACAGAUAAAUUACAGAAGUAAAAAAAAUUUAAAAUAACCUUAUGGGUACGAGCCGGAUAAAAUAUGAAAAAAAAAAAUAAUACAAUUGCUCGCCUGAAAUAUCGUAUACUAUGCGAUGGUGCACCCCAUGCAGUGGAUAGUGAACUGUUUUCACCCCAUCCCGCAUCCGCAAUUGUUAUCCUUUUCAUUGUUGUUGUCUUGUGGCUGGUUGGCCACGCGGU
This is a long non-coding RNA of Rhopalosiphum padi (bird cherry-oat aphid), 911 nucleotides long. RefSeq lists it as uncharacterized. The transcript is spliced from 3 exons. The record is from RefSeq and is a predicted model, not a curated record. Lineage: Eukaryota; Metazoa; Arthropoda; Insecta; Hemiptera; Aphididae.